Molecule: long non-coding RNA, 1033 nt
Filed under: Callithrix jacchus (white-tufted-ear marmoset)
Lineage: Eukaryota; Metazoa; Chordata; Mammalia; Primates; Cebidae
Description: lncRNA (ENSCJAG00000069708.1)
Source: RNAcentral
UACCAUUUGAGUGGUUUCUCAGGUCACAGUGUAUUGCAGAGAGCAGAUUGUUAAUUAAAUGGUAAUGUUUUCUGAAUUUGGAAGUAAUUUCUGAAGUUAAUAGUUAUUAGUUACCUUGAAAUUGUAAAACAAAAUCGUCGGUAUAUAAAAUCAGUACAUAAUUAGCAAGCUGUCCUCCAAGAAGCAGAUCACAUCACACUCUGCCCAAAAGGAACAGCUUUGCUGACGAGGCACUGACAUAGUUAAGAGAAACCAUGAAUCACGCAAGGGGCCAGGAGAAUGGUGCUGCCCAGCUCACAUUCAGAGGCAGCAUAAUUUAUGAAGCUCUGAGGACAGUGGGAGGUAGGCUGUCAGAAAUGCUAAGUCCUCUGUGGAAUUAUUACAUUCCCUUUGAAAGAUUUGAUGUCAUUGAAACGAGAUCUUCACUCAGGUGGAGGAGCAGUACAGUGGCCAAGAGAAAGAUUGGGUUGACAGAGGGAAAUAAAAAGAAUUCUGAUAUGUAAUAGAUGGGAUAAUCAGGAUACAGUAGGUCAUGGUCACAUUUGAGCUCCAGGUGGUGUCUGAUUGACUUGGAAGCAAUGCAAUAGGUGCAAAUUUGACCCUUAUAAUUCCUGCCAGUUUGGACCCUCAUAAUUGGGUCCAAAGAUAUUAGCUGUCACUUGACAUUCCCAUUGGCAAAAAUGAAGGGCAAGCCUCUGUUGACAAAGCGUGAAACGUCAUCUGCUGUCUCUUUAACGCCAUAAAUGAGUCACUUAUUCCAUAGAAGAGCAAGAAGAAAGAGCAGGGGGCCGGGCGAGGUGGCUCAUGCCUGUAAUCCCAGCACUUUGGGAGGCCGAGGCAGGUGGAUCACGAGGUCAAGAGAUCGAGACCAUCCUGGUCAACAUGGUGAAAUCCCGUCUCUACUAAAAAUAUGAAAAAUUAGCUGGGCAUGGUGGCGCACGCCUGUAAUCCCAGCUACUCAGGAGGCUGAGGCAGGAGAAUUGCCUGAACCCAGGAGGCGGAGGUUGUGGUGAGCCGAGAUCGCGCCAUUGCA